RNAcentral lists this transfer RNA (65 nucleotides) under Bothrogonia ferruginea. RNAcentral's name for it is "tRNA-Leu". Lineage: Eukaryota; Metazoa; Arthropoda; Insecta; Hemiptera; Cicadellidae. RNAcentral also lists the same sequence under 2 other names. The record is from RNAcentral.
AUUAAAUUGGCAGAUUAGUGUUUUGAUUUUAGAAAUCAAUUAAGUGUAUUUUUACAUAUUUAAUA